GAUUGAACGCUGGCGGCAGGCCUAACACAUGCAAGUCGAGCGGUAACAGAAAGUAGCUUGCUACUUUGCUGACGAGCGGCGGACGGGUGAGUAAUGCUUGGGAACAUGCCUUGAGGUGGGGGACAACAGUUGGAAACGACUGCUAAUACCGCAUAAUGUCUACGGACCAAAGGGGGCUUCGGCUCUCGCCUUUAGAUUGGCCCAAGUGGGAUUAGCUAGUUGGUGAGGUAAUGGCUCACCAAGGCGACGAUCCCUAGCUGGUUUGAGAGGAUGAUCAGCCACACUGGGACUGAGACACGGCCCAGACUCCUACGGGAGGCAGCAGUGGGGAAUAUUGCACAAUGGGCGCAAGCCUGAUGCAGCCAUGCCGCGUGUGUGAAGAAGGCCUUCGGGUUGUAAAGCACUUUCAGUCAGGAGGAAAGGUUAGUAGUUAAUACCUGCUAGCUGUGACGUUACUGACAGAAGAAGCACCGGCUAACUCCGUGCCAGCAGCCGCGGUAAUACGGAGGGUGCGAGCGUUAAUCGGAAUUACUGGGCGUAAAGCGUACGCAGGCGGUUUGUUAAGCGAGAUGUGAAAGCCCCGGGCUCAACCUGGGAACUGCAUUUCGAACUGGCAAACUAGAGUGUGAUAGAGGGUGGUAGAAUUUCAGGUGUAGCGGUGAAAUGCGUAGAGAUCUGAAGGAAUACCGAUGGCGAAGGCAGCCACCUGGGUCAACACUGACGCUCAUGUACGAAAGCGUGGGGAGCAAACGGGAUUAGAUACCCCGGUAGUCCACGCCGUAAACGAUGUCUACUAGAAGCUCGGAGCCUCGGUUCUGUUUUUCAAAGCUAACGCAUUAAGUAGACC
RNAcentral lists this ribosomal RNA (847 nucleotides) under uncultured Pseudoalteromonas sp. Its description in RNAcentral is "bacterial SSU rRNA". It matches the Rfam family "Bacterial small subunit ribosomal RNA", at positions 27 to 870 of the family's 1533-position model. The record is from RNAcentral. Lineage: Bacteria; Pseudomonadati; Pseudomonadota; Gammaproteobacteria; Alteromonadales; Pseudoalteromonadaceae.